This 254-nucleotide ribosomal RNA is filed under the name uncultured bacterium. Its description in RNAcentral is "partial 16S ribosomal RNA". It matches the Rfam family "Bacterial small subunit ribosomal RNA", at positions 524 to 776 of the family's 1533-position model. The record is from RNAcentral.
UACGUAGGGUGCGAGCGUUGUCCGGAAUUAUUGGGCGUAAAGAGCUCGUAGGCGGUGUGUCACGUCGGCCGUGAAAACCUGCAGCUUAACUGUGGGCGUGCGGUCGAUACGGGCAUCACUGGAGUUCGGCAGGGGAGACUGGAAUUCCUGGUGUAGCGGUGGAAUGCGCAGAUAUCAGGAGGAACACCGGUGGCGAAGGCGGGUCUCUGGGCAGUAACUGACGCUGAGGAGCGAAAGCCAGGGGAGCAAACGGG